CACAGUAGUAAUAGCAGUCACACAGCAGUCAUAGUAGUCACACAUUAGUCAUAGUAGUCACACAGUAGUCACAUAGUAGUCACACAGCAGUCAUAGUAGUCACACAGUAGUCAUAGUAGUUACACAGUAGUCAUAGUAGUGAACUGGUAGUUACUCAGUAGUCAUACAGUAGUCAGACAGCAGUCACACAGUAGUCAGACAGUAUAGUCAUAGUAGUGAACUGGUAGUUACUCAGUAGUCAUGCAGUAGUCAGACAGCAGUCACACAGUAGUCAGAGAGUAGUCAGACAGUAGUCACAUAGCAGUGAACUGGUAGUUACUCAGUAGUCAUGCAGUAGUCAGACAGCAGUCACACAGUAGUCAGAGAGUAGUCAGACAGUAGUCACAUAGCAGUGAACUGGUAGUUACUCAGUAGUCAGACAGCAGUCACACAGUAGUAAGACAGUAGUCAGACAGUAGUCACAUAGCAGUGAACUGGUAGUUACUCAGUAGUCAUACAGUAGUCAUACAGUAGUCAGACAGUAGUCAGACAGUAGUCACAUAGCAGUGAACUGGUAGUUACACAGUAGUCAUACAGUAGUCAGAUAGUUGUCACAUAGCAGUCACUCAGCAGUCACACAGUAGUCAGACAGCAGUGACAUGGUAGUUACUCAGUAGUCAUACAGUAGUCACAGGGUAGUCACAUUGUAGUCGCAUAGUGGUCAUACAGUAGUCACAUCUAAUACACAAAGUGAAGGUGCAUGGUCCACACUCACAAGCACUGCCUUCCUGCCUUUAGUCUAAAACCGUUAUAAAGUUCAGGCAACGCAAGUGAGACCAGUACUGUGUCCCAGAUGGCACCCUAUCCUCUUUUUAGUGCACUACAUUUGACCAGAGCUACAGUACUUUAGGGCCCUGGCCAAAAGUAGUGCACUAAAAAGGAAUAGGGUGCCAUUUGGGGUGCAGACCUCUCAGAACAUGGUGCCCAGUAGAUGUUUUAAUCAGUUUCCUCCUCCUGCAUGAUUUAUGUUGUUCUGUCUCUGCCAGGACUGUUUCUGUUUCCUGAGCUCUGCACUAAUCAACCACGCAGCCUCUGUCAGCUCUGCUGUGCCACUGUUUCAGGAGAUGGGGAGAGGUGGUGAUU
RNAcentral lists this long non-coding RNA (1122 nucleotides) under Salmo salar (Atlantic salmon). Its description in RNAcentral is "lncRNA (ENSSSAG00000091631.1)". Lineage: Eukaryota; Metazoa; Chordata; Actinopteri; Salmoniformes; Salmonidae. The record is from RNAcentral.